CUUCCACCGUCUUUUCACCAAUACUGAGUUCGCACCUCUUUUAAGACGUGUCACAUGUGCCACCUGAUCUAGAUUAUUGCCAGUGGGAGGGGCCAAGGUGCAUUACCCAUCACUACCGUCCUACCUGCUACAUGUAUAACAGUGUUUACUCUUGUUAUUCUCUCUGUGUCUUUAUUCUGCAUUUCUCUCUCGAAGGGUCUUUGUACUGGAGGCAGAAUUCACGGAAAAUCCAUGCUAUUGAGAGUACCGCAUACCGGCAAUGGCGUCGACGACGAUCAAGUAACAGAAAUGACCAUGUCCAAAGGCUGAGGGACAAUGUGGAGGAACUGCUGGAGGCAUCCCAAGGGCUGGAUGAAGUGGCUAAGAAAAUAACUGACUCGGUGACCGUCAGCCGUGGUUCGUCACCAGUUUGGCCUGAAUUCAAACAGGCAUUCAUCUGUUUGAUUUGCAGAGGUACUGUUUUCAUUCUGCAUGUUUGAAUAUUGCUCAGUGUAACACAGAAGUAAUCUAACGUAGUAUUACAAUUAGUGUUUGAGCAAUUGUUUACUUGUCUUUAAGUGACAAUCAAGGAUUUAGACAAAUGAAAAAACACUUGAAAACAGAAAUGAGUUCAGGCAGUAAUACAGUGAGAGUCGAGAAUCCAGACAUUUUAUAAAAGAAAUAAUGCCUUAAAAAACUAUUAUUUUCAACCAGAACCCUUGGUCUUUUUCAACCUAUAUGAUCUUUUCAAAUUUGAAUGAUCAUCAGUAAGCACACUUUAUUGUGUGUUAACUUCACGGGUGGCAAAAGUAGACUUUCAAUAAUUAAUGGUUGGGUAUGGGAUUUGCGAAACGCCAGCAGAUUUUGAAAAUACACAACUCAAAUGGUCCUACCCCCUCUCCUUCAACGCUGACUCUGACCCAUUCCAAGUACACGAACGCACAAUCAUGCACGAGCGCGAACACAGAUGCGCGAGAGCGAGCCAGGCUAGCUAGGUUAGAGUUUAGUAGUGGUGCAACGGUUCACGGUAGGGGUGGGUAUUGGCAUGAACCUCACGAUACGAUACGUAUCCCGAUACUUGGGUCACGAUACGAUACAUAUCACGAUAUUGCGAUUUAAAGAGUUUAUGUAUUUCAGAUUAUAUUGAUCAGAGGACAAAUUGAGUCAAAACCAUUUCAUUCAUAACAGCUAUUUUUUAUUUCAAUGAAUGAAACAUUAACAAUAUUUGUUUUAUUUCUUACAGCUGAAACACUGAGCUGAAAACUGAAAUAAAGUGCAAAGUAGUUUUUCACAGUAUGAAAUCUGAACUGAAGUUCAAAUUAAAAUAAAAUACCUAUGUGCAUGCAGUAAAAAAGUAUAAGAAAAUAAAGUGCAGAAUAGCCCUUUUGUUCCUCUAAUCAAAAUAAAUAAUAAAGUAAAAAAACAA
Molecule: long non-coding RNA, 1405 nt
Filed under: Gadus morhua (Atlantic cod)
Lineage: Eukaryota; Metazoa; Chordata; Actinopteri; Gadiformes; Gadidae
Description: lncRNA (ENSGMOG00000031667.1)
Source: RNAcentral